UUUCCUUCGGGAGACUGAGAGCGGCGCACGGGUGCGGAACACGUGUGCAACCUGCCUUUAUCAGGGGGAUAGCCUUUCGAAAGGAAGAUUAAUACCCCAUAAUAUUUUGAAUGGCAUCAUUUGAAAUUGAAAACUCCGGUGGAUAAAGAUGGGCACGCGCAAGAUUAGAUAGUUGGUAGGGUAACGGCCUACCAAGUCUACGAUCUUUAGGGGGCCUGAGAGGGUGAUCCCCCACACUGGUACUGAGACACGGACCAGACUCCUACGGGAGGCAGCAGUGAGGAAUAUUGGACAAUGGGUGAGAGCCUGAUCCAGCCAUCCCGCGUGAAGGAUUAAGGUCCUAUGGAUUGUAAACUUCUUUUGUAUAGGGAUAAACCUAGAUACGUGUAUCUAGCUGAAGGUACUAUACGAAUAAGCACCGGCUAACUCCGUGCCAGCAGCCGCGGUAAUACGGAGGGUGCAAGCGUUAUCCGGAUUUAUUGGGUUUAAAGGGUCCGUAGGCUGAUUUGUAAGUCAGUGGUGAAAUCUCACAGCUUAACUGUGAAACUGCCAUUGAUACUGCAAGUCUUGAGUGUUGUUGAAGUAGCUGGAAUAAGUAGUGUAGCGGUGAAAUGCAUAGAUAUUACUUAGAACACCAAUUGCGAAGGCAGGUUACUAAGCAACAACUGACGCUGAUGGACGAAAGCGUGGGGAGCGAACAGGAUUAGAUACCCUGGUAGUCCACGCCGUAAACGAUGCUA
RNAcentral lists this ribosomal RNA (740 nucleotides) under Chryseobacterium vrystaatense. RNAcentral's name for it is "bacterial SSU rRNA". It matches the Rfam family "Bacterial small subunit ribosomal RNA", at positions 74 to 814 of the family's 1533-position model. The record is from RNAcentral. Lineage: Bacteria; Pseudomonadati; Bacteroidota; Flavobacteriia; Flavobacteriales; Weeksellaceae.